AGAGCUGGCUGUGGGAAGGGAGAAGUGAAGUCAGUCACCUGGUGGUGAAGGCCAGUAAAACAGCAAAGCGGGAGGAAAAUUGCGUUCUCCCUCUCUUCUCUUCGCUCUUUUCUCUCUGUGGGAGCCACCUCCUAUUCUCUCAACUCUUUUAGCAUAACCUUCAAAGGAGAACGGUCCCUUCAGACUUUAUUACCGUCUUUUCCCCACUGAGAGAAUACCUCUUAGCUACAAGACAUUUUUUAAGUCUAUGCAGGACUUCGGGGAUCCAGUUAUCUUGCCAGAGAAAUUGAUGAUUGCUAAUGUCUGAGACUCGCAGCGUGCUAAAUUAGCUACCAGAGUAUGCCUGACGGAGGAAGGCUUUUAUCACAUACUCUUCUCUCCAGUUUGAACACAUUUGCUUGAAUUUUGCCGCAUGAUGCUGUCCAGGGAAGCAGCUUUUUUUCUUGGGAUGCAGCAACUCGCUGGUUUCUAAGCUUAUUGCAGAAGAGAGAAAAAAAAUCUGAAAUUGAGUGGAUUUUUCCCCCUCCUCUGCUUGAUUCUACUGAGCUGUGUUACCACGGCGGUAAAGAUCAACUGUCCCUAAAUCUUUGAAGAAGUAAAACAAAGUGAAUUAUCAUUAAUAUUUAUUUAUUUAUAUUAUUUUUAACCGGUGGAGGCUGCGAGACCACGGAGAAUGAGACUGAGAGAAGCUGCCAGGGCUUGGAGGAGGAUAAAGCUGAGUUUCAGCUGGAAACUAAAAGACUAGAUCGGUUCGGGGAGCAACUUGGCCGGUUCCUCUCCACUUCCUUUAGUUUCGCUCCAUGGACAGAUCCACGGACCUGGACAUCCAGGAGCUCAAGAUGACUCGAGAACAAUACAUACUAGCCACACAGCAGAACAACCUGCCGAGACCUGAAAAUGCUCAACUCUAUCCUGUGGGGAUUUAUGGAUGGCGAAAGAGGUGCUUAUACUUCUUUGUCCUACUGCUGUUGGUUACCAUGAUAGUUAACUUAGCCAUGACAAUAUGGAUAUUGAAGGUUAUGAAUUUCACUGUGGUAAGUA
This 1041-nucleotide long non-coding RNA is filed under the name Rattus norvegicus (Norway rat). Its description in RNAcentral is "long non-coding RNA NONRATT011536". The record is from RNAcentral. Lineage: Eukaryota; Metazoa; Chordata; Mammalia; Rodentia; Muridae.